GAAAAUUUGGGCUCAAGGGGUGGCCAAUGAAGCAUAAUUGUUGUAGCACCGAGGUGGGCUCCUCGGCCAGGGGGUCUUCGCCAGUCGAGAGGGUUCUUGCAAGGCCUAGCUUGAGUGUGCAUCCUCCUAUACACACCUCCUCUUGUUGAAGGCCUGAUCCUCCUGGCAUGCGAUUCGGCCCUCUUCGAUUUGUAUGCACUUACGAGCCUGGGUUGGGAGAUUGGCAUCAUCUUUCAAAUACAUUUUAUCGAGGGAGUAGAUAAGAUGUUCAUUAUGAAGGCCUCACUUCAUAGCCGACAUAGUGAUAACUUUGUUCAGGCUGUGCACUUCUAGUAUGGCCAUCUUGAAGCAUGCCAUAUAGCUACAUAGAGAUUCUCCACUACAUAGCUCUAGUAUGGCCAUGUUGAAACACGCUAUAUAGCUGUGGAGAGAUUCUCCCUUCUCUUGGUGGAGAGAGAAGAGGCUAUCCAAAGUCCUCAGUUGGAUAUGGCUAUGACCAAAGUGAUCGAUAAAUUGACACCCAAGUUACUCGAAGGAAGAAAUGGAUUCCAACUGGAGGCUAAAAUACCAGGUUCAUGCCACCUUCUUCAAAGUGGUAGGGAAGGCAAGGUACAAAAUGGUGUCCAAAGCACCCUAUAGUAUCAUGAGGGCCUUGUAGCCCUCUAGAUGAUCCAAGGAGUUGGUAGAGCCAUCAUACGGCUCCACUGCUAGUGACCCAUCUUGGAAUCGAUUUUUGAAUGAAUAGAGCUAGUGAAGGGAGGCCGGAAUUGAAGCUGGGGGCAUUAUCAUUCCCCAGGCCAUCCAUGUGGACCUCCACGAGUCAGCAUAUGAUCUCACAAAUUUUUUAAUCCAGGUCUUCAUCUUGAUAGGAUUGUCUAUGAUGGGAGGUACAGCCUGGGGUCGAGCCCCGAUUGAAAGAGAUAGGGGAUCGCCAGCAUCAUCGUCUGUGGGUGGACCUGUGGUAUGAAGAUGGUCAUCAAUCGAGAG
RNAcentral lists this long non-coding RNA (987 nucleotides) under Elaeis guineensis (African oil palm). RNAcentral's name for it is "long non-coding RNA (EGUI_LNC072513)". Lineage: Eukaryota; Viridiplantae; Streptophyta; Magnoliopsida; Arecales; Arecaceae. The record is from RNAcentral.